GACGAACGCUGGCGGCGUGCUUAACACAUGCAAGUCGAACGGAAAGGCCCUGCUUUUGUGGGGUGCUCGAGUGGCGAACGGGUGAGUAACACGUGAGUAACCUGCCCUUGACUUUGGGAUAACUUCAGGAAACUGGGGCUAAUACCGGAUAGGAGCUCCUGCUGCAUGGUGGGGGUUGGAAAGAUUCGGCGGUUGGGGAUGGACUCGCGGCUUAUCAGCUUGUUGGUGGGGUAGUGGCUUACCAAGGCUUUGACGGGUAGCCGGCCUGAGAGGGUGACCGGCCACAUUGGGACUGAGAUACGGCCCAGACUCCUACGGUAGGCAGCAGUGGGGAAUAUUGCACAAUGGGCGGACGCCUGAUGCGGCAACGCCGCGUGCGUGAUGACGGCCUUCGGGUGGUAAACCGCUUUCGCCUGUGACGAAGCGUGAGUGACGGUAAUGGGUAAAGAAGCACCGGCUAACUACGUG
Molecule: ribosomal RNA, 468 nt
Filed under: uncultured bacterium
Lineage: Bacteria
Description: partial 16S ribosomal RNA
Rfam family: Bacterial small subunit ribosomal RNA
Source: RNAcentral